UACGUAGGGGGCAAGCGUUGUCCGGAUUUAUUGGGCGUAAAGAGCUCGUAGGUGGUUCGGUAAGUCGGAUGUGAAAUCUCCAGGCUCAACCUGGAGGGGUCAUUCGAUACUGCCGUGACUAGAGUUCGGUAGGGGAGUGUGGAAUUCCUGGUGGAGCGGUGAAAUGCGCAGAUAUCAGGAAGAACACCCGUGGCGAAGGCGGUUCUCUGGGACGGUACUGACGCUGAGACGCGAAAGCGUGGGGAGCGAACAGG
RNAcentral lists this ribosomal RNA (254 nucleotides) under uncultured bacterium. RNAcentral describes it as "partial 16S ribosomal RNA". It matches the Rfam family "Bacterial small subunit ribosomal RNA", at positions 524 to 776 of the family's 1533-position model. The record is from RNAcentral.